Molecule: ribosomal RNA, 367 nt
Filed under: uncultured bacterium
Lineage: Bacteria
Description: bacterial SSU rRNA
Rfam family: Bacterial small subunit ribosomal RNA
Source: RNAcentral
AAUCAACGCUGGCGGCGUGCCUCAGACAUGCAAGUCGAACGCGAAAUCCCGAGCAAUCGGGAGAGUAGAGUGGCGCACGGGUGAGUAACACGUAGGUAAUCUACCUUCGGAUGGGGAAUAACAACCGGAAACGGUUGCUAAUACCGCAUAAUGCAGCGGCACCUAAUGGUGACAGUUGUUAAAGCGGGGGAUCGAAAGACCUCGCGUCUGAAGAGGAGCCUGCGGCGGAUUAGCUAGUUGGUAAGGUAAUGGCUUACCAAGGCGACGAUCCGUAACCGGCCUGAGAGGGCGGUCGGUCACACUGACACUGACAUACGGGUCAGACUCCUACGGGAGGCAGCAAGUCGGGAAUUUUGGGCAAUGGGCG